GCUCCUACGGGGCGCAGCAGUGAGGAAUAUUGGUCAAUGGGCGGGAGCCUGAACCAGCCAAGUCGCGUGAGGGAAGACGGUCCUAUGGAUUGUAAACCUCUUUAGGCGGGGAGCAAUGUCGGGCACGCGUGCCCGGAGGGAGAGUACCCGCAGAAUAAGCAUCGGCUAACUCCGUGCCAGCAGCCGCGGUAAUACGGAGGAUGCGAGCGUUAUCCGGAUUUAUUGGGUUUAAAGGGUGCGUAGGCGGAUUUUUAAGUCAGCGGUAAAAUGUCCGGGCUCAACCCCGGCCCGCCGUUGAAACUGGG
Molecule: ribosomal RNA, 305 nt
Filed under: uncultured bacterium
Lineage: Bacteria
Description: bacterial SSU rRNA
Rfam family: Bacterial small subunit ribosomal RNA
Source: RNAcentral